GACGAACGCUGGCGGCGUGCCUAAUACAUGCAAGUAGAACGCUGAAGGAGGAGCUUGCUCUUCUGGAUGAGUUGCGAACGGGUGAGUAACGCGUAGGUAACCUGCCUGGUAGCGGGGGAUAACUAUUGGAAACGAUAGCUAAUACCGCAUAAGAGUAGAUGUUGCAUGACAUUUGCUUAAAAGGUGCAAUUGCAUCACUACCAGAUGGACCUGCGUUGUAUUAGCUAGUUGGUGGGGUAACGGCCCACCAAGGCGACGAUACAUAGCCGACCUGAGAGGGUGAUCGGCCACACUGGGACUGAGACACGGCCCAGACUCCUACGGGAGGCAGCAGUAGGGAAUCUUCGGCAAUGGACGGAAGUCUGACCGAGCAACGCCGCGUGAGUGAAGAAGGUUUUCGGAUCGUAAAGCUCUGUUGUAAGAGAAGAACGAGUGUGAGAGUGGAAAGUUCACACUGUGACGGUAUCUUACCAGAAAGGGACGGCUAACUACGUG
RNAcentral lists this ribosomal RNA (495 nucleotides) under uncultured bacterium. Its description in RNAcentral is "partial 16S ribosomal RNA". It matches the Rfam family "Bacterial small subunit ribosomal RNA", at positions 28 to 507 of the family's 1533-position model. The record is from RNAcentral.